UAUCUCUGUAGAGUCUGCAUAUCAAUAAGCGGAGGAAAAGAAACUAAUAAGGAUUCCCCUAGUAACGGCGAGUGAAGCGGGAAGAGCUCAAAUUUGAAAUCUUCAAGGGUUUCCCUUGACGAAUUGUAGUUUAUAGAAGUGUUUUCUGUUAGAGAGGUGGUAAAAGUUCUUUGGAAUAGGACAUCAUAGAGGGUGAGAAUCCCGUAUUUGAUCACCUUCUACUAACGUUGUGAUACACUUUCAACGAGUCGGAUUGUUUGGGAAUGCAGUCCAAAAUGGGUGGUAAAUUUCAUCUAAAGCUAAAUAUUGGCGAGAGACCGAUAGCGAACAAGUACCGUGAGGGAAAGAUGAAAAGAACUUUGAAAAGAGAGUUAAACAGUACGUGAAAUUGUCAAAAGGGAAGCGUUUGACACCAGUGUCGUUUUCUCGAAAAUCAAUUAAAAAUGGCUCGAUUUUGUAUUGUUGAGACCUUAAAAGCUCACUGUACAUUUUCCGUGUCUUUUUUAAUGCACUUUUCGUUUAACAAGUCAACAUCAGUUUCUUUUGUUGUAAAAGGGUCAUUGGAAGGUGGCUUUCUUUUCGGAGAAAGUGUUUAUAGCCUUUGGCCUCUGCAAUCGGAGAGACUGAGGUCUGCAGCGUAGACUCUUCGGGGUUAGAUACAUUUGUGCUAAGUUAUAGCUUUUUAUAGACAACUUGUUGACUAUAAUUAGUCUUGUAGCUUACUCGCUUAUGCUAUUUUACCUACGCUUAGGAUGUUGAUGUGAUACUGCGAGCA
This 775-nucleotide ribosomal RNA is filed under the name uncultured Neocallimastigales. RNAcentral's name for it is "partial large subunit ribosomal RNA". It matches the Rfam family "Eukaryotic large subunit ribosomal RNA", at positions 24 to 626 of the family's 3401-position model. The record is from RNAcentral. Lineage: Eukaryota; Fungi; Neocallimastigomycota; Neocallimastigomycetes; Neocallimastigales.